UACGGGGGGAGCAAGCGUUGUUCGGAUUUACUGGGCGUAAAGGGCGCGUAGGCGGCCAGCACAAGUCAGUUGUGAAAUCUCCGAGCUCAACUCGGAAAGGUCAACUGAUACUGUGCGGCUAGAGUGCGGAAGGGGCAACUGGAAUUCUUGGUGUAGCGGUGAAAUGCGUAGAUAUCAAGAGGAACACCUGCGGCGAAGGCGGGUUGCUGGGCCGACACUGACGCUGAGGCGCGAAAGCCAGGGGAGCGAACGGG
Molecule: ribosomal RNA, 254 nt
Filed under: uncultured bacterium
Lineage: Bacteria
Description: partial 16S ribosomal RNA
Rfam family: Bacterial small subunit ribosomal RNA
Source: RNAcentral